RNAcentral lists this ribosomal RNA (497 nucleotides) under uncultured bacterium. RNAcentral's name for it is "partial 16S ribosomal RNA". It matches the Rfam family "Bacterial small subunit ribosomal RNA", at positions 28 to 507 of the family's 1533-position model. The record is from RNAcentral.
GAUGAACGCUGGCGGCGUGCCUAAUACAUGCAAGUCGAGCGAACAGACGAGGAGCUUGCUCCUCUGACGUUAGCGGCGGACGGGUGAGUAACACGUGGAUAACCUACCUAUAAGACUGGGAUAACUUCGGGAAACCGGAGCUAAUACCGGAUAAUAUAUUGAACCGCAUGGUUCAAUAGUGAAAGACGGUUUUGCUGUCACUUAUAGAUGGAUCCGCGCCGCAUUAGCUAGUUGGUAAGGUAACGGCUUACCAAGGCAACGAUGCGUAGCCGACCUGAGAGGGUGAUCGGCCACACGGGAACUGAGACACGGUCCAGACUCCUACGGGAGGCAACAGUAGGGAAUCUUCCGCAAAGGGCGAAAGCCUGACGGAGCAACGCCGCGUGAGUGAUGAAGGUCUUCGGAUCGUAAAACUCUGUUAUUAGGGAAGAACAAAUGUGUAAGUAACUAUGCACGUCUUGACGGUACCUAAUCAGAAAGCCACGGCUAACUACGUG